This is a long non-coding RNA of Peromyscus maniculatus bairdii (prairie deer mouse), 2257 nucleotides long. RefSeq lists it as uncharacterized. The record is from RefSeq and is a predicted model, not a curated record. NCBI's taxonomy places the organism in Eukaryota, Metazoa, Chordata, Mammalia, Rodentia, Cricetidae.
CCGCCCCUCCCGGGUGCAAGCUGAGCGCCCCACCCGCCCCUGACCUCCCCAAGCCCCUCCUCUGGACCCGCCUCUUCCCGAGAUGGGACCCCUACACACUCCCGGGGGGCUGUCACCACACCCCACGAGUCCCACUAGGGCCUCCCGAGUGCAAGUUCACCCAAGUGGUGACUUUUUAGGGACCCUCUUGCUCGUCUCGCAGAGGCCUUCUGGGGCUACCCGCCCCCUGUCCAGUCGCUCCGACGUGGCUACUUUGCGGGCUGGGCUGUAUAAAGGGCUGGAGGCAGCUCGACGCAAACCAGAGACGUGGCGCUUCGCCUAGGCCGGCCUAGGCUCCAGGGCCUGAUUACAUCCGGAGAAUGGAGCAGGGAGGAGCUGAAGAGAUCACGGCCUGGGAGACAUGAAGACACAGCUCUGGACCUCAGUCGGCUCUCCCAGCAAGGCUCCCUAACUGGGGACUUUGAAAUGUAACAAGACUACUAAAUUGUAUUUUUUUUAAAAAAAAAAUGCCUGGAAUCAUGUUUUCUUGUAUAGAUGAACCCGGUAGAUAUUACAGUAACCAUUUGAAAAAUUUUCACCCUGAUUUCCAAGAUUGUCUGCCUGAUCCUGUACUUUUUUGUUUGUUUUGUUUUUGACAGGGUCUCUCUGUGUAGCCCUGGCUGUCCUGGAACUCACUCUGUAGUCCAUGCUGGCCUCCAACUCAGAGAUCUGCCUGCCUCUGCCUCCCAAGUGCUGGGGGACUAAAGGCCUACACCACCAUCGCCUGGCUAAUCCUAUCCAUUUUAACACAGCUGAACACUGUGCAAAGAAGUGAAGCUCGAUGUCACUGUAGAAUUGCUCAGAGCUGCUCCCCAUUUACUUAUGUUGUAGUAUUCAGAAGACCCACAGUUGUAGUUACAGAUUACUCCAUGAUGGCCACCCGUGGAUGUCUUCACAGAUGAAGGCUCUUGUACUGGAGAGGUUGAGAGAACUCUCAAUGCCUUCUCUAGUCUCUUGGCCUUCACUAAAGCCCCUUACGGCUUCCUUUGCCCCAAGAAAGCUCUCUCCCCUUCAGUGACCAUGCCCUGGGUGAUGUUAAGGAGACUAGACAUCCCUGGAAGCUGUGAUCACACACAAGUACACACACACACACACACACACACACACACACACACACACACACACACACGAAGGAGCAUUAAAGAUUAUGAUACAAAGAUUCUUGGUCCUUAAGGUAAAGUUCCAGCUGUUCCACUCUGCUAGGGUGUGUGAGGGACCCUCCAGCAUCGCCCCCUCCACAGUCUAAUUUCUACCUAGGAUCUACCUUGGUUUCCUAAGGCUAAUCAGAAGGAUGUGACCAUGGAUUUUGUCCCUGGUUAUUCCUAAUGUGACACAGAGUCACCUGCCUCCACCUACCUCAAGUGAGUUCUGCUUACUUGUGACCUCUCAAAUUCAACCCACACUAAGCAGGGCGUUCUUUCACCUCAUAGCCAUGUUCAGCAGCCUGGUUAGGUGUGUGGGCCACAGCACUAAGUAGCUUCAGGGUGUACCCAGACAUACCCUCAGGAAAAUGUGUUUGCUUUCUGGAUGGGGGUGGACUUCAUCUCCAACGGUUAUGUGUUCCUUGACAUGUUCAAUGAUAUUUCAAGUGUUCAGCAGGGCGUCGCAAUUUACUUCUGCUAUAUUUCCAGAAAUCAAAGCAUUCUAGAAAACUACAAGUAUUUUGUUUAUUGUGGCUGGGUUUCUAGAUAUGUUUUCUGGCAACCCAAUUUCCGUAAGAUGAAGCUGGUGCCCUCGAAGCAGUUCAAGUUGUCUUUUAGAAGCAUGGUAUGGGGAGAGGAAAAAUGCUAAGUUUAAAUGAUUUUUGGAAUAUCUACAGGAAAGGCAGAUGGUUUCUGGCAUGAAGAUAAAGCAUCAUUUUAGUUUCCUUGGAGUUAUUUUCUGACAUCCAGACUCAUAUGUCUUGAGUGUUUAUAAGCAAAGAGUGGCUGUACUUACUUUAGAAAGAUAUUUUGACUUAUUAGCUAAUGUCUUCUACAUUCUCCUGUCUUUGAGAAACUGGGCUUUGAGGGGACAUAAAUAGUUUCAGAAAUAUAUUUUAAACAUAUAUUUAGAUUUUGAAGCACAAAUUUCUCUGUCCUGGUUUAUUUCAAUAUUUACCAACUGAAUUUAGCAUAAUGACCUUGGAUUCAAUAAAAGGGAUAUUUGUAGAAUUAAACCAAAGGGGGCAUGUCUUCCCAAGCAAAUUAGGAGGAAUAAAGGCUGUUGGGAUCUUGUA